This 2365-nucleotide ribosomal RNA is filed under the name Salmonella enterica subsp. enterica. RNAcentral describes it as "partial 23S ribosomal RNA". It matches the Rfam family "Bacterial large subunit ribosomal RNA", at positions 582 to 2925 of the family's 2925-position model. The record is from RNAcentral. Lineage: Bacteria; Pseudomonadati; Pseudomonadota; Gammaproteobacteria; Enterobacterales; Enterobacteriaceae.
CCCUUUGGGGUGUGACUGCGUACCUUUUGUAUAAUGGGUCAGCGACUUAUAUUCUGUAGCAAGGUUAACCGAAUAGGGGAGCCGGAGGGAAACCGAGUCUUAACCGGGCGUUAAGUUGCAGGGUAUAGACCCGAAACCCGGUGAUCUAGCCAUGGGCAGGUUGAAGGUUGGGUAACACUAACUGGAGGACCGAACCGACUAAUGUUGAAAAAUUAGCGGAUGACCUGUGGCUGGGGGUGAAAGGCCAAUCAAACCGGGAGAUAGCUGGUUCUCCCCGAAAGCUAUUUAGGUAGCGCCUCGUGAAUUCAUCUCCGGGGGUAGAGCACUGUUUCGGCUAGGGGGCCAUCCCGGCUUACCAACCCGAUGCAAACUGCGAAUACCGGAGAAUGUUAUCACGGGAGACACACGGCGGGUGCUAACGUCCGUCGUGAAGAGGGAAACAACCCAGACCGCCAGCUAAGGUCCCAAAGUCAUGGUUAAGUGGGAAACGAUGUGGGAAGGCCCAGACAGCCAGGAUGUUGGCUUAGAAGCAGCCAUCAUUUAAAGAAAGCGUAAUAGCUCACUGGUCGAGUCGGCCUGCGCGGAAGAUGUAACGGGGCUAAACCAUGCACCGAAGCUGCGGCAGCGACGCUGAUGCGUUGUUGGGUAGGGGAGCGUUCUGUAAGCCUGCGAAGGUGGCCUGUGAGGGUUGCUGGAGGUAUCAGAAGUGCGAAUGCUGACAUAAGUAACGAUAAAGCGGGUGAAAAGCCCGCUCGCCGGAAGACCAAGGGUUCCUGUCCAACGUUAAUCGGGGCAGGGUGAGUCGACCCCUAAGGCGAGGCCGAAAGGCGUAGUCGAUGGGAAACGGGUUAAUAUUCCCGUACUUGGUGUUACUGCGAAGGGGGGACGGAGAAGGCUAUGUUGGCCGGGCGACGGUUGUCCCGGUUUAAGCGUGUAGGUGUGUGUUCCAGGUAAAUCCGGUUCACUUUAACACUGAGGUGUGAUGACGAGGCACUACGGUGCUGAAGCAACAAAUGCCCUGCUUCCAGGAAAAGCCUCUAAGCAUCAGGUAACAUCAAAUCGUACCCCAAACCGACACAGGUGGUCAGGUAGAGAAUACCAAGGCGCUUGAGAGAACUCGGGUGAAGGAACUAGGCAAAAUGGUGCCGUAACUUCGGGAGAAGGCACGCUGACACGUAGGUGAAGUGAUUUACUCAUGGAGCUGAAGUCAGUCGAAGAUACCAGCUGGCUGCAACUGUUUAUUAAAAACACAGCACUGUGCAAACACGAAAGUGGACGUAUACGGUGUGACGCCUGCCCGGUGCCGGAAGGUUAAUUGAUGGGGUCAGCGCAAGCGAAGCUCCUGAUCGAAGCCCCGGUAAACGGCGGCCGUAACUAUAACGGUCCUAAGGUAGCGAAAUUCCUUGUCGGGUAAGUUCCGACCUGCACGAAUGGCGUAAUGAUGGCCAGGCUGUCUCCACCCGAGACUCAGUGAAAUUGAACUCGCUGUGAAGAUGCAGUGUACCCGCGGCAAGACGGAAAGACCCCGUGAACCUUUACUAUAGCUUGACACUGAACAUUGAGCCUUGAUGUGUAGGAUAGGUGGGAGGCUUUGAAGUGUGGACGCCAGUCUGCAUGGAGCCGACCUUGAAAUACCACCCUUUAAUGUUUGAUGUUCUAACGUGGACCCGUGAUCCGGGUUGCGGACAGUGUCUGGUGGGUAGUUUGACUGGGGCGGUCUCCUCCUAAAGAGUAACGGAGGAGCACGAAGGUUGGCUAAUCCUGGUCGGACAUCAGGAGGUUAGUGCAAUGGCAUAAGCCAGCUUGACUGCGAGCGUGACGGCGCGAGCAGGUGCGAAAGCAGGUCAUAGUGAUCCGGUGGUUCUGAAUGGAAGGGCCAUCGCUCAACGGAUAAAAGGUACUCCGGGGAUAACAGGCUGAUACCGCCCAAGAGUUCAUAUCGACGGCGGUGUUUGGCACCUCGAUGUCGGCUCAUCACAUCCUGGGGCUGAAGUAGGUCCCAAGGGUAUGGCUGUUCGCCAUUUAAAGUGGUACGCGAGCUGGGUUUAGAACGUCGUGAGACAGUUCGGUCCCUAUCUGCCGUGGGCGCUGGAGAACUGAGGGGGGCUGCUCCUAGUACGAGAGGACCGGAGUGGACGCAUCACUGGUGUUCGGGUUGUCAUGCCAAUGGCACUGCCCGGUAGCUAAAUGCGGAAGAGAUAAGUGCUGAAAGCAUCUAAGCACGAAACUUGCCCCGAGAUGAGUUCUCCCUGAGACUUAGAGUCUCCUGAAGGAACGUUGAAGACGACGACGUUGAUAGGCCGGGUGUGUAAGCGCAGCGAUGCGUUGAGCUAACCGGUACUAAUGAACCGUGAGGCUUAACCUU